This 350-nucleotide ribosomal RNA is filed under the name Hyalopterus pruni. RNAcentral describes it as "partial 12S ribosomal RNA". Lineage: Eukaryota; Metazoa; Arthropoda; Insecta; Hemiptera; Aphididae. The record is from RNAcentral.
CCCUAUUAUAAAAAUUUAAAUUAAUUUACUAAAAAAUUAAUAGUUAUGUUCUUUAAAUUUAAAAAAUUUGGCGGUAUUUUAGUCUUAUUAGAGGAAUCUGUUUAUUAAUUGAUAAUCCACGAUUAAUUUUACUUAUUUUAAUUAAUUCAUAUAUCGCUGUCAUGAAUAUAUUUAAAAAUUUAUUUUCUUUAAUUAUUUUAAUAAUUUAUGUUAAGUCAAGAUGUGGUUUAUAAAUAAGAAUAUAAUGGGUUACAUUAAAUUUUAUUUUUGGAUUUAAAAUGAAAAUUAAAAUGAAAUUGGAUUUAAUAGUAAGUUUAAUUAAUUUAUUAAUAUGAAUAAAGAUCUAAAUU